Long non-coding RNA from Balaenoptera musculus (blue whale), 1827 nucleotides. RefSeq lists it as uncharacterized. The transcript has 3 exons. NCBI's taxonomy places the organism in Eukaryota, Metazoa, Chordata, Mammalia, Artiodactyla, Balaenopteridae. The record is from RefSeq and is a predicted model, not a curated record.
AAGUGCCCGACCAGCUGGAAAUCCCGGUCAGUUCCCAAACUCCGAGCUCGCAAUCGGGCCCCUAACUCUGGGCCGGCCUGUACCAAGCGCGCGAUCCCAUCCCGGAACCAAAGCCCUGUUCUCUAGGGAACACUCCACCUCGGUGUCUCGCAGGCCACCCUUUAACAACCCCAGGAAGGCACCCUGGUGAUAAUAAAAGCAACGUGGCUAAUGUUCAUGGAGGGUUCACAGUGGCUACUAGAACAUUUGAAAUGACAUAUGUGGCUCCCGGUUACAUUUCUGUUGGACAGCACUGGUCUAGGAGUUGAGGGGACCCAGCGAGGGCCCAAUAGCCUGUGCUACUACAGUUGGGAAGAAUUCUGAGGAAAUGGAACAAUUAGGAGCAAGCAACAGAACACUGAGGAAGGAUGUGGGAAGACAUUUGAGAAGUUUGAUCAUGAAGGGAAGGAGGGGAGAUGGCAGCUUAAGGAGGCAACAGAGUCCCAGGAACCAUGUACACAUCACCGACCCAGCCCGUCCUCCCGUUCCUGACGUCUUCCAAAAAUAUGGUGGUACCUCCAGUCACCCUCCCAUGCAAUGACUCUGGAGGAAGGCUCCUUCCUCUCAAUCCUGGACAAUGGGGAGUUGGCCUGUGAGCUGGGUUUAGAUGCUAAGUAUUGACUGAUUCUCAGCCCCGGAGAAAGGGAAGUGGUGGGGGAAGGGAAGGGAGCUCAGGGACCCCCGUGCUGUUGGAGCUAGGAGUUUGGUCAGUGUUUGAAAUGGGGAGGACUUCUCAGAGGAGCAGAGUGGGAGGAGGAAGUCAGCCCUCAAACCUGGCCAGACAAAGCAUCCACUGUGGACACAUUUCAUCAGGAGAAAUCAGGCAGCCUGGAUCUGAUGUUCCUGCCUCUGCCCUCCCACUCAGCCACACGGAGAAGCCGUAAACACUCAGAUACAAGGAUUAACUCUGCGUGUGGUGUCUGGGACAUUGUGAACAACUCUUGGUAGCUGUGUUAAAAUUGAUCUUUCUAACCCCCAGCACCUAGGAUGUGGGGCCUGUUACACAGCCAGUGUUCAAUAAAUAUCGAUGGAUGGAGAGGAAGGAGGAGGAAGAGGAAGGAAGAGAGGGAGGCCCUGGGCCCACAAGCUUUGAGAGACAGUGUAUGUCCAGGCUUGUAGCCUUCCUGGGUAAAACUCUGCUCCUAGUCUCUUAUCCUAUUAAGUACUUUUUAAAAGCCUCUUAUGGCCUCUGAAAAAGGAAAGAUAAUGUGAAGAAUUCCAGGAGGGUUGGACGAGCCUGUACCGGGCUGGGGGUGGCUGAGUUAGUUCCUGGACCAGCAAAGGAAAGACUCCCGAAGCACAUCAGAAGCCUGCAGUUUUCCGAUAUGGCCACUGGAGGGCACUUCAACCAAGUAAUACCAGCUCUCCUCCACCUCUCUUGUCCUUGGAGAGCCCAGAUUUCAACAAAAGUUUAAAAAUCAUCACAAUAAUGAUAGCUGUCCUGGUUGAAUAUCCAAUAAGGGGCUAAACGCCUUAAACAUAUAUCAUCUCAUUUAAUAUUCACUACAAUUGUGAAUUAUUUUAGCUAUUUAGGAAAAACUGAGGCUUAAAGGAGCCGAAGAAUUUACUGAAAACCCCCUAGCUAAAUACAAUUUGGGAGUAAGAACCUGAAACCAAGCCCGUGGGCACCGACCAUAAACAAUGAACACACAAGAAGCUGAAAAGGAGACUGGAUAGAAGCAGAGAGUCUGCUACACAAAUAUUGUUACUGAACAACUUACACAUAUAUGAAAUUGGAAGACGGCUUACAGAUAAUUUGUACGUUUCAUACAGUAAUGUUUCUUUUCU